Long non-coding RNA from Patella vulgata (common limpet), 405 nucleotides. RefSeq lists it as uncharacterized. The transcript has 3 exons. Lineage: Eukaryota; Metazoa; Mollusca; Gastropoda; Patellidae. The record is from RefSeq and is a predicted model, not a curated record.
CUCAGUAUCAUCCACAGUCUUCGACAUUGCAAACAUGACUGCCUGUCAAUUUAAAUCAGCAUUGAUGUUGCUAUCUUACCGUGAAAAUAUGGGCUUCUGAUAUCCAAUAUUUAAGACAAAAUGAAAAUUUUAAAAAAUUGGCACACGAAUCAAUUGCCAGAAUGCUUUCGAACGCCAUUUGUAAUGAAUCGACGUGAUCCACGAGGUUAAAUAUAUCCUACAUGAGAAUACUACCUGUAUAGACUGGAAUAACCCAAGUCGGCCUUGUUUAAUUUCCAGAGUUUAUUAACGGUUUUAUUAUUAUUGAUAUGUACCUGUACUUACCUGAGAUCUAUUAUACCUAGUAUAAUUGAUAGAAAUAAAACAGGCUUCCUAGGAAUAUUUUGGAAAUUUGCAAGAAUAGGU